AANAUGUCCUGUAGUGGGGGAUAGCCCGGCGAAAGCCGGAUUAAUACCGCAUACGAUCUGAGGAUGAAAGCGGGGGACCUUCGGGCCUCGCGCUAUAGGGUUGGCCGAUGGCUGAUUAGCUAGUUGGUGGGGUAAAGGCCUACCAAGGCGACGAUCAGUAGCUGGUCUGAGAGGACGACCAGCCACACUGGGACUGAGACACGGCCCAGACUCCUACGGGAGGCAGCAGUGGGGAAUUUUGGACAAUGGGCGAAAGCCUGAUCCAGCAAUGCCGCGUGUGUGAAGAAGGCCUUCGGGUUGUAAAGCACUUUUGUCCGGAAAGAAAUCCUUGGUUCUAAUAUAGCCGGGGGAUGACGGUACCGGAAGAAUAAGCACCGGCUAACUACGUGCCAGCAGCCGCGGUAAUACGUAGGGUGCAAGCGUUAAUCGNAAUUACUGGGCGUAAAGCGUGCGCAGGCGGUUUGCUAANACCGAUGUGAAAUCCCCGGGCUCAACCUGGGAACUGCNUUGGUGACUGGCANGCUAGAGUAUGGNAGAGGGGGGUAGAAUU
This 550-nucleotide ribosomal RNA is filed under the name uncultured Burkholderia sp. RNAcentral's name for it is "bacterial SSU rRNA". It matches the Rfam family "Bacterial small subunit ribosomal RNA", at positions 123 to 668 of the family's 1533-position model. Lineage: Bacteria; Pseudomonadati; Pseudomonadota; Betaproteobacteria; Burkholderiales; Burkholderiaceae. The record is from RNAcentral.